AUCUGGCUGAUAAGUCCCAGAUAGGACGAAACAUUCGUUUUAGAU
Molecule: non-coding RNA, 45 nt
Organism: Schistosoma mattheei
Lineage: Eukaryota; Metazoa; Platyhelminthes; Trematoda; Strigeidida; Schistosomatidae
Source: Rfam